This 377-nucleotide long non-coding RNA is filed under the name Cyanistes caeruleus (blue tit). RNAcentral's name for it is "lncRNA (ENSCCEG00000020363.1)". The record is from RNAcentral. Lineage: Eukaryota; Metazoa; Chordata; Aves; Passeriformes; Paridae.
CUGGCUUUUCAUAGCCAGUCAUGGCUCUCCUGUGCUUUCAAAAAGGUCCUGUUUAGCAGCCUCAUGACAACAGUUGUUCCAGGAAAAUGGCAAAGUGUGACAAAGAGAGAUCUAUGCACACGGGUAAAUCGGAUCUGAAAUCAUCUGUCCAAGUGCAAGAGGGGAUUUUUGCUAGGGCUAGAGUCUUGUUAGAGUUGGAAGUUGUCCCUGUAGACCAACACAUCCCCCUUCUGUGAGCAGAUUUCUCCUGGAAUGCUGAGCAUUUGUUUAUGGAAAAGCACAGUAUUCUGUCAGAUACAAUAUUAGUUCCCCACAGUAGCAGGGAGACCUUGGGUCAGAUUCAUCAAGAGGGUUAACAGAUAUUUUCAGGUAUUGCA